UAUAGCUCAGUGGUAGAGC
This 19-nucleotide non-coding RNA is filed under the name Arabidopsis thaliana (thale cress). RNAcentral also lists the same sequence under 1 other name. The record is from RNAcentral. Lineage: Eukaryota; Viridiplantae; Streptophyta; Magnoliopsida; Brassicales; Brassicaceae.